CCCUUCUGGAGUUUGGCAGAGGGGGGUGGAAUUCCACGUGUAGCAGUGAAAUGCGUAGAGAUGUGGAGGAACACCAAUGGCGAAGGCAGCCCCCUGGGUCGUUACUGACGCUCAUGCACGAAAGCGUGGGUAGCAAACAGGAUUAGAUACCCUGGUAGUCCACGCCCUAAACGAUGUCAACUAGGUGUUGGGAGGGUAAAACCUUUUAGUGCCGUAGCUAAC
This 222-nucleotide ribosomal RNA is filed under the name uncultured Candidatus Accumulibacter sp. RNAcentral's name for it is "partial 16S ribosomal RNA". It matches the Rfam family "Bacterial small subunit ribosomal RNA", at positions 636 to 856 of the family's 1533-position model. Lineage: Bacteria; Pseudomonadati; Pseudomonadota; Betaproteobacteria. The record is from RNAcentral.